This 542-nucleotide ribosomal RNA is filed under the name Staphylococcus aureus. RNAcentral's name for it is "partial 23S ribosomal RNA". It matches the Rfam family "Bacterial large subunit ribosomal RNA", at positions 701 to 1246 of the family's 2925-position model. The record is from RNAcentral. Lineage: Bacteria; Bacillati; Bacillota; Bacilli; Caryophanales; Staphylococcaceae.
AUUUGGUCGUAGACCCGAAACCAGGUGAUCUACCCUUGGUCAGGUUGAAGUUCAGGUAACACUGAAUGGAGGACCGAACCGACUUACGUUGAAAAGUGAGCGGAUGAACUGAGGGUAGCGGAGAAAUUCCAAUCGAACCUGGAGAUAGCUGGUUCUCUCCGAAAUAGCUUUAGGGCUAGCCUCAAGUGAUGAUUAUUGGAGGUAGAGCACUGUUUGGACGAGGGGCCCCUCUCGGGUUACCGAAUUCAGACAAACUCCGAAUGCCAAUUAAUUUAACUUGGGAGUCAGAACAUGGGUGAUAAGGUCCGUGUUCGAAAGGGAAACAGCCCAGACCACCAGCUAAGGUCCCAAAAUAUAUGUUAAGUGGAAAAGGAUGUGGCGUUGCCCAGACAACUAGGAUGUUGGCUUAGAAGCAGCCAUCAUUUAAAGAGUGCGUAAUAGCUCACUAGUCGAGUGACACUGCGCCGAAAAUGUACCGGGGCUAAACAUAUUACCGAAGCUGUGGAUUGUCCUUUGGACAAUGGUAGGAGAGCGUUCUAAGG